Molecule: transfer RNA, 73 nt
Filed under: Tepidamorphus gemmatus
Lineage: Bacteria; Pseudomonadati; Pseudomonadota; Alphaproteobacteria; Hyphomicrobiales; Tepidamorphaceae
Rfam family: tRNA
About the family: Transfer RNA (tRNA) molecules are approximately 80 nucleotides in length. Their secondary structure includes four short double-helical elements and three loops (D, anti-codon, and T loops). Further hydrogen bonds mediate the characteristic L-shaped molecular structure. tRNAs have two regions of fundamental functional importance: the anti-codon, which is responsible for specific mRNA codon recognition, and the 3' end, to which the tRNAs corresponding amino acid is attached (by aminoacyl-tRNA synthetases). tRNAs cope with the degeneracy of the genetic code in two manners: having more than one tRNA (with a specific anti-codon) for a particular amino acid; and 'wobble' base-pairing, i.e. permitting non-standard base-pairing at the 3rd anti-codon position.
Source: Rfam by way of RNAcentral
GGGCGCAUAGCUCAGUUGGUAGAGCAGCUGACUCUUAAUCAGCGGGUCCAUGGUUCGAGUCCAUGUGCGCCCA